AAUAUUGGACAUUGGGGGCAACCCUGAUCCAGCAAUGCCGCGUGUGUGAAGAAGGNUUNNGGAUUNUNAAGCACUUUAAGUUGNNNNNAAGGGCUUUCGNCUAAUACCCUGAAGUUUUGACGUUACCAACAGAAUAAGCAACGGCUAACGCUGUGCCAGCAGCCGCGGUAAUAUAUAGGGUUCAAGCGUUCAUCGGACUUACUGGGCGUAAAGCGCGCGGAGUUAGUUCAGUAAGAUGGGUGUGAAAUCCCCGGGCUUAACCUGGGAACUGCUUUCAUCGCUGCUGGGCUAGAGUACGGUAGAGGGUAGUGGAGUUUCCUGUGUAGCGGUGAAAUGCGUAGAUAUAGGAAGGAACACCAGUGGCGAAGGCGACUACCUGGACUGAUACUGACACUGAGGUGCGAAAGCGUGGGGAGCAAAC
RNAcentral lists this ribosomal RNA (421 nucleotides) under uncultured bacterium. RNAcentral's name for it is "partial 16S ribosomal RNA". It matches the Rfam family "Bacterial small subunit ribosomal RNA", at positions 360 to 773 of the family's 1533-position model. The record is from RNAcentral.